Talpa occidentalis (Iberian mole) is the source of this 618-nucleotide long non-coding RNA. RefSeq lists it as uncharacterized. The record is from RefSeq and is a predicted model, not a curated record. The transcript has 5 exons. NCBI's taxonomy places the organism in Eukaryota, Metazoa, Chordata, Mammalia, Eulipotyphla, Talpidae.
GCACUCGGAUCUUCAGCUCCCGCGGCAGACGGCGCCAGUCUGGGCAGAGUGGAAAUCUCCCUUAGCCCAAUGCCACGGUGAUACUGAGAGAGAGCAGUGGAGAGCGUCCUUGAGAGCAAGGAACCCGGAUUUCACUCUUGCCUUUGCUCACGGGGAAGGGGACUAACUCUGGAAGUCUGUCACCUCGCUGAGCUUCAGGAGGAAAACACCAGUUGGCAAUGAACUGAAAAACUGCAUCCCAUGCCAGGAGGUAACAGAAGUUUGUCCGGCUCUUAGGGGAAUCAUACUAACAGAUUCGGAAGAAGUGGAUGCCACAGCAGUAGUCAGAGGAACAUUAUUUUUUAUAUUUUGUGUCUGGUGGCCUCCAGUCUCUGAAUUAUCUCAGAAUUCCAGUGUGCCAUGUGCCCUGUGUGGCAGGUCAGGUCUGGCGCACAGGCGCGCCUUAGAGCACCCAGCUCGAAGAAUGGGCAUCUGCCGGCGCUCCACCAAGACCUGGGAUGGUCCCAGUCUGGGUCUCGCAGGAGGCUCCUCAGGAACCCUUAGGUUUGUUGGGGCUCAGGGGAGAUCCGCUUAGCAAGGGAAGUCAGGAUUGGAGCCUCUAGGUUUUGAGGGUUUGUG